GGCGAUAUGGCCAAAUGGUAAGGCAAUAGAUUGCAAAUCUUUUACUCCCAGUUCGAAUCUGGGUAUCGUCU
This 71-nucleotide transfer RNA is filed under the name Phacus pleuronectes. RNAcentral's name for it is "tRNA-Cys". It matches the Rfam family "tRNA". Rfam says of the family: Transfer RNA (tRNA) molecules are approximately 80 nucleotides in length. Their secondary structure includes four short double-helical elements and three loops (D, anti-codon, and T loops). Further hydrogen bonds mediate the characteristic L-shaped molecular structure. tRNAs have two regions of fundamental functional importance: the anti-codon, which is responsible for specific mRNA codon recognition, and the 3' end, to which the tRNAs corresponding amino acid is attached (by aminoacyl-tRNA synthetases). tRNAs cope with the degeneracy of the genetic code in two manners: having more than one tRNA (with a specific anti-codon) for a particular amino acid; and 'wobble' base-pairing, i.e. permitting non-standard base-pairing at the 3rd anti-codon position. The record is from RNAcentral. Lineage: Eukaryota; Euglenozoa; Euglenophyceae; Euglenales; Phacaceae.